UUGGCCUACGGGACGCAGCAGUGGGGAAUAUUGCACAAUGGGGGAAACCCUGAUGCAGCGACGCCGCGUGAGCGAUGAAGUAUUUCGGUAUGUAAAGCUCUAUCAGCAGGGAAGAAAAUGACGGUACCUGACUAAGAAGCCCCGGCUAACUACGUGCCAGCAGCCGCGGUAAUACGUAGGGGGCAAGCGUUAUCCGGAUUUACUGGGUGUAAAGGGAGCGUAGACGGCGGUGCAAGCCAGAUGUGAAAGCCCGGGGCUCAACCCCGGGACUGCCUUUGGAACUGGUAGUCUAGAGUAUGGGAGCG
This 305-nucleotide ribosomal RNA is filed under the name uncultured bacterium. RNAcentral's name for it is "bacterial SSU rRNA". It matches the Rfam family "Bacterial small subunit ribosomal RNA", at positions 334 to 656 of the family's 1533-position model. The record is from RNAcentral.